UAGUGGCGAACGGGUGAGUAACACGUGGGCAAUCUGCCCUGCACUCUGGGACAAGCCCUGGAAACGGGGUCUAAUACCGGAUACGAGUUUCACAGGCAUCUGUGAUUCUGGAAAGCUCCGGCGGUGCAGGAUGAGCCCGCGGCCUAUCAGCUUGNUGGUGAGGUAACGGCUCACCAAGGCGACGACGGGUAGCCGGCCUGAGAGGGCGACCGGCCACACUGGGACUGAGACACGGCCCAGACUCCUACGGGAGGCAGCAGUGGGGAAUAUUGCACAAUGGGCGAAAGCCUGAUGCAGCGACGCCGCGUGAGGGAUGACGGCCUUCGGGUUGUAAACCUCUUUCAGCAGGGAAGAAGCGAGAGUGACGGUACCUGCAGAAGAAGCGCCGGCUAACUACGUGCCAGCAGCCGCGGUAAUACGUAGGGCGCAAGCGUUGUCCGGAAUUAUUGGGCGUAAAGAGCUCGUAGGCGGCUUGUCGCGUCGGUUGUGAAAGCCCGGGGCUUAACCCCGGGUCUGCAGUCGAUACGGGCAGGCUAGAGUUCGGUAGGGGAGAUCGGAAUUCCU
RNAcentral lists this ribosomal RNA (564 nucleotides) under Streptomyces sp. 418F05. Its description in RNAcentral is "bacterial SSU rRNA". It matches the Rfam family "Bacterial small subunit ribosomal RNA", at positions 93 to 671 of the family's 1533-position model. The record is from RNAcentral. Lineage: Bacteria; Bacillati; Actinomycetota; Actinomycetes; Kitasatosporales; Streptomycetaceae.